This 134-nucleotide small nucleolar RNA is filed under the name Neogale vison (American mink). RNAcentral describes it as "Neovison vison (American mink) Small nucleolar RNA SNORA70 (ENSNVIG00000022996.1)". It matches the Rfam family "Small nucleolar RNA SNORA70". Rfam says of the family: snoRNA U70 seems to be exclusive to mammals and is a member of the H/ACA class of snoRNA which contain H (ANANNA) and ACA box motifs. H/ACA box snoRNAs are involved in the conversion of uridines to pseudouridines (5-ribosyluracil) a constituent of structural RNAs (transfer, ribosomal, small nuclear, and small nucleolar). The record is from Rfam by way of RNAcentral. Lineage: Eukaryota; Metazoa; Chordata; Mammalia; Carnivora; Mustelidae.
CUGCAGCCAAUUAAACUGACUGUGCUCUUCGUCUAUGGGGGCCCAGUGUGCCAUGGCUGCGAACAGUAGCCUCCUCUGUAGUGUAUGCAGCCUGUUGAUCAUAUGGGUUUCCCUAAGGGACCUUGAAGACAGCC